This 72-nucleotide transfer RNA is filed under the name Camelus ferus (Wild Bactrian camel). It matches the Rfam family "tRNA". From Rfam's summary of the family: Transfer RNA (tRNA) molecules are approximately 80 nucleotides in length. Their secondary structure includes four short double-helical elements and three loops (D, anti-codon, and T loops). Further hydrogen bonds mediate the characteristic L-shaped molecular structure. tRNAs have two regions of fundamental functional importance: the anti-codon, which is responsible for specific mRNA codon recognition, and the 3' end, to which the tRNAs corresponding amino acid is attached (by aminoacyl-tRNA synthetases). tRNAs cope with the degeneracy of the genetic code in two manners: having more than one tRNA (with a specific anti-codon) for a particular amino acid; and 'wobble' base-pairing, i.e. permitting non-standard base-pairing at the 3rd anti-codon position. Lineage: Eukaryota; Metazoa; Chordata; Mammalia; Artiodactyla; Camelidae. The record is from Rfam by way of RNAcentral.
GAGGGUAUAGCUCAGUGGCAGGGUGUGUGACUUACAUGCAUGGGGUCCUGGGUUCAAUCCCCAGGACCUCUA